Molecule: ribosomal RNA, 253 nt
Filed under: uncultured bacterium
Lineage: Bacteria
Description: partial 16S ribosomal RNA
Rfam family: Bacterial small subunit ribosomal RNA
Source: RNAcentral
UACGUAGGGUGCAAACGUUAUCCGGAUUUAUUGGGCGUAAAGAGCUCGUAGGCGGAAUUGUAAGUUGGAUAUUAAAUACCCAGGCUCAACUUGGGGACAGUAUCCAAGACUGCUUUUCUAGAGUGAUGCAGGGGAGAACGGAACUUACGGUGUAGCGGUAAUAUGCGUAGAUAUCGUAAGGAACGCCAAUGGUGAAGACAGUUCUCUGGGCAUUUUCUGACGCUGAGGAGCGAAAGCGUGGGUAGCGAUCGGG